UGGGGAAUUUUGGACAAUGGGGGAAACCCUGAUCCAGCCAUCCCGCGUGUGCUAUGAAGGCCUUCGGGUUGUAAAUCCCUUUUGGCAGGAAAGAAACGUCAUGGGUUAAUACCCCGUGAAACUGCCGGUACCUGCAGAAUAAGCACCGGCUAACUACGUGCCAGCAGCCGCGGUAAUACGUAGGUUGCAAGCGUUAAUCGGAAUUACUGGGCGUAAAGCGUGCGCAGGCGGUUCGGAAAGAAAGAUGUGAAAUCCCAGAGCUCAACUUUGGAACUGCAUUUUUAACUACCGGGCUAAAGUGUGUAAGAGGGAGGUGGAAUUCCGCGUGUAGCAGUGAAAUGCGUAGAUAUGCGGAGGAACACCGAUGGCGAAGGCAGCCUCCUGGGAUAACACUGACGCUAAUGCACGAAAGCGUGGGGAGCAAACAGG
RNAcentral lists this ribosomal RNA (429 nucleotides) under Acidobacteriota bacterium. RNAcentral describes it as "Acidobacteria bacterium partial 16S ribosomal RNA". It matches the Rfam family "Bacterial small subunit ribosomal RNA", at positions 355 to 776 of the family's 1533-position model. Lineage: Bacteria; Pseudomonadati; Acidobacteriota. The record is from RNAcentral.